This 4255-nucleotide long non-coding RNA is filed under the name Homo sapiens (human). Its description in RNAcentral is "HSALNT0340661". The record is from RNAcentral. Lineage: Eukaryota; Metazoa; Chordata; Mammalia; Primates; Hominidae.
ACGCUCACUGCGAAGGUCUGUGGCUUCACUCCUGAAGUCAGCAAGACCACGAACCCACCGGAAGGAGGAAACAACUCCGGAAGCACCACGUUUAAGAGCUGUAACACUCACUGCGAAAGUCUGCAGCUUCACUCCUGAAGUCAGCAAGACCACAAACCCACCGGAAGGAAGAAAUUCCAGACACAUCUAAACAUUGGAAGGAACAAACUCCAGACACACUAUCUUUAAGAACUGUAACACUCACCGCGAGGGUCUGUGGCUUCAUGCUUGAAGUCAGCCGGACCAAGAACCCACCGGAAAGAACCAAUUCCUGACACAAUCGUUCUUCAUGGUCUAUGACUCCAAGGUCUGAAAUGAUCUCAUUUACCCCACAUGAUAGAUGUGGCCCUUCCAGAUGAGGAGUUCAACAAGACUACAUGGUAGAGCAGCCAGAGAACCCACUGGAAAUAAGGCUCAAAAUAAGGAGUAACCACAAAAUAAGAGACAGAGAAUGCUGAUUCACUAUGCAGUGAAACAUGCCUAACGUGUCAACAGCUAAAUGCCCGGUGACAGUGUGGUUGUCUGGGCAACAGAAGAAGUCACCCACGCAAACACUUAAAGGACCAUACUUAUUUUACAAGAGGAACAGUUUUCAAUGGAAUGGAUAUUAAAACACACACCUGGAUCCCUUUACCACAGGUGCUUUGAGAGGCACCAUCAAGGACAGUGAGCUAACGCAGGAGAAUGGAGUCCCAGAAACCUAGGAGGAGAAGACAAAGUGUCAGCCUCUCGGCAUCUGCAGUGUUGCUAGGAAAAGAGCUCUGAUCCCAGGGGCUUACCCACUUCCACAGGUAGGAAGCGUCCCUGAGAGGACUGGAACAUUAGCAUAUCUCAGAUCCAUCUGCAAAACUUUUGCAAACACGGAACUCCCUCGUUCUAAUCUUAUCAGCAACUUCCAGAGCUGAACCUUGAUUAAUCUGGAUACAAAAAGGAUUGAAACGCCACAUAAUAAGCAUUAACAGGAGGGUGUUUCCUUUAUCAAUGAAGCUUGAUUUAUCCAUGAUGAUCUAGUGCAUUCUCCUCCCAAAAAUCAGGAUCAUCCUCUGCAUAUGAAGGAACAGACAAGCCCUCAGCUCUACCACUUUGGAGAGGGGGGGAUUGGACAGCAUGAGCCUUCAAUUGUAUCUCUUGGAUGACCAAGGAAGGCUGGAUUUCUGCACCUAAAAAAUGGAAGCACAAACUGUACAACAAAUACUCUCCAUUCAAGUUGAAGUUCUCAAAUAAGGUAUCCAAUUAACCAAUGUAUUAAUAACAUUGAAAAUAAUAAUCUCAUAGGAAGAUUCCAAAAAUUUCUGGUUUUAUAUCUAGCAAAAACUUCAUGCACUAUGUUUGAUUUGUAUGUAGAACUCAGGGUGAACAUGCCAGUGACAGUGGCAAUGAGAGGGGUAACUGGGGGCCAGAAGCAGGCUGAGGGAGAGGAGAGGAGGGGGCAGAGUGUGCUCAGGGAACCAUGAGCCAUGCAGGAUAAGCAAUAGGGCAGAAUAAACAGGACAUACCCAUCUGUUUAUUCUCUCUGUAUAAUGUUUUGAUUCUCUUUGUACCCUAACUAACCAAGGCACAGCUCAGGAAGUUGCUGCCAGGAUUAGAAAAAGGGAGUUGCACAUUCUCAAAAAGCAAUGGUACAGUGCAAAGAAUGGUAAUUAAUCCCCCAGCACACUUGACCCAGCCCCUAAAGAACUUUGUGACCUUGGGCCAGGCAGGCAGCUCCCAGGCUUCUGUUUUGUCAUUUUUGACCUCUUCUGGCUGCAGUGAUUCAUUUCCAGAUAUAGGUUGCUUCAGCUCAUCUCAAAGUCUUCUUGUAGCCUGUUCUUUGAGAAAUGGUAAUAUAUCUCUUGAAAAGUUUCUUUUUCUUGCAAAGUCACCCAAUUCAUGAGUUAAUGAGGUCCCACCAGUGAUACGAUUGCAGAGUCACAAAUAUCACUAACUGAAAGGAGUAGAAGGAAGGCGGGAAUUGCAGACACACCAUGAGUGGGUGGCCUCCAGGAGAUACACGUGAGACCAGCCCUGUGGUGGGCCAGGUCAGAAGGACUUCUGCUUAGACUAGGUGGAAACUUCUCAGCAUUCUGAGGAGUACCACCAUCUGACUGGCAGUUUGAAGGUAUCACUUGGGCUGCUGUAUCAAGAAUAGACUUCAGAAGACAAGUUGAACGUAGCAAGACCAGUGAGAAAGGUGUCAUAGCCGUCCAAGUGCAGGGUGGCAGUGGAGAUAGGAGUUAUAUUAAGGAGAGAGUCACCAGGAUUUGCUGAUGGGUUAGGUGUGGGCUGUGGAAGAAAGAUCAAAGUCAAGAAUGACUCCAAUGACAUUGUCCUAAGCAAUUGGAAUGAUGAAAUCACAGUUGUUGAGAUGGGGAACCUGCACAUGGAGUGAGUCUGGAGGAGAGAUUAGUUGUUUGGCUUUGGCCAUGCUGAGUUUCAGAUGUGUUUCGACACACAUGUGGAGGGGUUACGCUUGAAUGUCUGAGUCUGACUUUUGUAUUGAGAUGUUCCUAUCCUACUUCUUCCUACCUCCACCCUGCAAAGGAUGGCCAUGGUUAUCUUCAGUGCCCCCACAAAGCUCUGUGCAGAUUCCUGGUAUGUCACAUUUAUUUCAAAUGGCUUUACUGAGAUGUAAUUGAUAUAUAGUUCACCCAUUUAAAUUGGACAAUUGAAUGGUUUUUAGUAUAUUCACAGAGUUUUGAUCAUGUGUAACAUGGUCUAUUUUUAGAAUAUUUUUGUCACCCCUUCCCCUCUAAAAAACCUCAUAGCCAUUAGGAAACAUUCUCCAUUUCCUAGCAUGGUAUUUUAAAAUAGUGACAAUUCCUAUUUUCAAGUCUGUCAGUAAGCCUCUUAAUGGUAGGGACUUCCGUGUUAUUUGUUUUUGCAUUUCACCCUGUAACAAUUACUCAAAAAAGCUGUUGUAUGAAUGAACUACAGUUUGAAAAAUACGACCCCAAGACUGUGUGUCUUUAAGAGAGAACCAACCCUUUGCAUUCCGGUGCUCUUCGUAUGGCUGCCUGUAGCAUUUUUCAGAUCUAGUUGAGAAACCGAUGGGAGGAUAUGGAGAUAAGUCUCAUUACUCUUUUCUUUCUUGGCUAUACUUCUCUAGCAUCUGUUGUAAACAAAACAGAAAAGAGUCUUUCUAAACCUGGUGAAAAUAUCUCAAAUGCAAGGAAGCCAGUGAUGAAAAAUGCAAUAUCAAAGUUCGGGCUGUUACAAACACAUGGCAUAAAUCACAUCUGCUCAUUAAACUUAUUACAAAGAAUGAUAACAAAAGCAAAGAGAUGUCUGAAAAUGUCUUGGGAAAAAUAAAGUAGCUAAUAAAUUCGUGGUUUUACUGUUUUAUGUCAUAAGGAUGGAUAUAAUUUCAUUUGGGACAAAUGUUUCUGGACUCAGACUACAGACUACAGAUUUGGAGCUGAAGGCCACUACCAAGGCAAUCUCCUCUAACAUCUUCAUUUCAGAGCUGAUGAGCUAGAUAGUCAUGCCCUGUGACCUCUCAGCUGGUUAUGGCAGAGCUCGCCCAAGAGCAAGGGGCGUAAUAUAUUAAUUAGUUUAAACUGAUAUGCGUUAUGUACUAACAGGGUCUGGGCAGACCAGUAGCAUCUAAAUAUUAUUCUAAGAGUCAGAAGCUUUUUUUCCAAUAAAGCCUUAUGCUGAAAACAAUAAUUAUGGCAGAAUCCUUCUGAUGGAGCCUGGGGGGUGGACUGCUUUUUCCCUCUGCUGCUGCAGCCCUGACGUGGUUUAGUGUGUCCUGGGACUAUCCCUUUGACAUCCCUCCUCUGUAUUCUUCUGAAAUACAGGACCCAUCCACUGCAUAUAGUCACAAGUUUACUUGCUUCUCUUCCCUCCUAAACUGUGGAAUCUCUCAACAUAAUGAUUGUGUCUUACACAAAACUGCAUAUCUCAGUUUCUGAACUCAGGAAAUAUUAACUUUGUUCUUUGACUUGCCAGGUUCUUUUCAAGGUGUUGGUGACACAGAUAUGAGGAAAACAGAGUUGACUCAUGGUGAUGGAGCUUACAUUCUAUGGGGCAAGAGUGAGCAGAGGUUUUGAAAGGUUCACUCCAGCUACUCUGUUGACAAUGGAUUAUAGAAGACUGAACAUGGAAUCCAGGAGACCAGUCAGAAAACUUCUUCAGGAAUCCAGCACAGUCUUGGCCUGUUCUGGAGAAUGCUCCCCAUCAAAAAUAAUUGACUGGAGACAAGCCAAGUCAGGAUUCUCCCUGGGAUCAAUUUCUG